UACAGAGGGUGCGAGCGUUAAUCGGAAUUACUGGGCGUAAAGCGUGCGUGGACGGUUAUUUAAGUCGGGUGUGAAAGCCCCGGGCUCAACCUGGGAAUUGCAUUCGAGACUGAAUAGCUAGGGUACGGUAGAGGGAAGCGGAAUUUCCGGUGUAGCGGUGAAAUGCGUAGAUAUCGGAAGGAACAUCAGUGGCGAAAGCGGCUUCCUGGACCAGUACCGACGUUCAGGCACGAAAGCGUGGGGAGCAAACAGG
RNAcentral lists this ribosomal RNA (253 nucleotides) under uncultured bacterium. Its description in RNAcentral is "partial 16S ribosomal RNA". It matches the Rfam family "Bacterial small subunit ribosomal RNA", at positions 524 to 776 of the family's 1533-position model. The record is from RNAcentral.